AGACCGAUAGCGAACAAGUACCGUGAGGGAAAGAUGAAAAGCACUUUGAAAAGAGGGUCAAAAAGUACGUGAAAUUGCUGAAAGGGAACCGUAUGAAAUCAGCUUGUCUCUUUGGUAAUCAACCUGGACCUCGGUCUGGGUGCACUUGCCAGUGAGUACAGCCUGCGACAAUUCGGCGCGAAGGAAAAAAUCGGGGGGAAUGUGGCCUCAGCUUCGGUUGUGGUGUUAUAGCCCUUUGAAAAAUACUUUGCUCUGGAUUGAGGACUGCAGCGAGCCAUUUGGGAUAGACUGUGGGCGCUUUGUUUGGACUGGGAGGAAAUUUCUAUCUCUGGUAGUGUUCUUUCAGUUUGAGCAAACUCGCCUACUUUUCUUUUUUCUCGCUUAGGUCGUAGGCAUAAUGAUUUUAUAUGUCCCGUCUUGAAACACGGACCAAG
RNAcentral lists this ribosomal RNA (434 nucleotides) under Absidia repens. RNAcentral's name for it is "LSU rRNA". It matches the Rfam family "Eukaryotic large subunit ribosomal RNA", at positions 331 to 670 of the family's 3401-position model. Lineage: Eukaryota; Fungi; Mucoromycota; Mucoromycetes; Mucorales; Cunninghamellaceae. The record is from RNAcentral.